Molecule: ribosomal RNA, 1372 nt
Filed under: uncultured bacterium
Lineage: Bacteria
Description: bacterial SSU rRNA
Rfam family: Bacterial small subunit ribosomal RNA
Source: RNAcentral
GAUGAACGCUGGCGGCGUGCCUAAUACAUGCAAGUCGAGCGAACGGACGAGAAGCUUGCUUCUCUGAUGUUAGCGGCGGACGGGUGAGUAACACGUGGAUAACCUACCUAUAAGACUGGGAUAACUUCGGGAAACCGGAGCUAAUACCGGAUAAUAUUUUGAACCGCAUGGUUCAAAAGUGAAAGACGGUCUUGCUGUCACUUAUAGAUGGAUCCGCGCUGCAUUAGCUAGUUGGUAAGGUAACGGCUUACCAAGGCAACGAUGCAUAGCCGACCUGAGAGGGUGAUCGGCCACACUGGAACUGAGACACGGUCCAGACUCCUACGGGAGGCAGCAGUAGGGAAUCUUCCGCAAUGGGCGAAAGCCUGACGGAGCAACGCCGCGUGAGUGAUGAAGGUCUUCGGAUCGUAAAACUCUGUUAUUAGGGAAGAACAUAUGUGUAAGUAACUGUGCACAUCUUGACGGUACCUAAUCAGAAAGCCACGGCUAACUACGUGCCAGCAGCCGCGGUAAUACGUAGGUGGCAAGCGUUAUCCGGAAUUAUUGGGCGUAAAGCGCGCGUAGGCGGUUUUUUAAGUCUGAUGUGAAAGCCCACGGCUCAACCGUGGAGGGUCAUUGGAAACUGGAAAACUUGAGUGCAGAAGAGGAAAGUGGAAUUCCAUGUGUAGCGGUGAAAUGCGCAGAGAUAUGGAGGAACACCAGUGGCGAAGGCGACUUUCUGGUCUGUAACUGACGCUGAUGUGCGAAAGCGUGGGGAUCAAACAGGAUUAGAUACCCUGGUAGUCCACGCCGUAAACGAUGAGUGCUAAGUGUUAGGGGGUUUCCGCCCCUUAGUGCUGCAGCUAACGCAUUAAGCACUCCGCCUGGGGAGUACGACCGCAAGGUUGAAACUCAAAGGAAUUGACGGGGACCCGCACAAGCGGUGGAGCAUGUAGUUUAAUUCGAAGCAACGCGAAGAACCUUACCAAAUCUUGACAUCCUUUGACAACUCUAGAGAUAGAGCCUUCCCCUUCGGGGGACAAAGUGACAGGUGGUGCAUGGUUGUCGUCAGCUCGUGUCGUGAGAUGUUGGGUUAAGUCCCGCAACGAGCGCAACCCUUAAGCUUAGUUGCCAUCAUUAAGUUGGGCACUCUAAGUUGACUGCCGGUGACAAACCGGAGGAAGGUGGGGAUGACGUCAAAUCAUCAUGCCCCUUAUGAUUUGGGCUACACACGUGCUACAAUGGACAAUACAAAGGGCAGCGAAACCGCGAGGUCAAGCAAAUCCCAUAAAGUUGUUCUCAGUUCGGAUUGUAGUCUGCAACUCGACUACAUGAAGCUGGAAUCGCUAGUAAUCGUAGAUCAGCAUGCUACGGUGAAUACGUUCCCGGGUCU